AGAGUUUGAUCCUGGCUCAGGAUGAACGCUGGCGGCGUGCCUAACGCAUGCAAGUCGAACGAGAAAGCCCUUCGGGGUGAGUACAGUGGCGAACGGGUGAGUAACACGUGGGCAACCUGCCCCUCGCAGGGGGACAACCGGGGGAAACCCCGGCUAAUACCCCGUACGCUUGUCGGGUCGCAUGGCCCGGCAAGGAAAGGUAGCUUCGGCCAUCCGACGAGGGAUGGGCCCGCGGUACAUUAGCUAGUUGGUGGGGUAACUGCUCACCAAGGCGACGAUGUAUAGCUGGUCUGAGAGGAUGAUCAGCCACACUGGGACUGAGACACGGCCCAGACUCCUACGGGAGGCAGCAGUCGGGAAUCUUGCGCAAUGGGCGAAAGCCUGACGCAGCAACGCCGUGUGAGCGACGAAGGCCUUCGGGUCGUAAAGCUCUGUUGUUGGGGACGAAGGGUUAGGGGUUAAUAGCUCCGAGCCUGACGGUACCCUUCGAGGAAGCCCCGGCUAACUACGUGCCAGCAGCCGCGGUAAUACGUAGGGGGCGAGCGUUGUCCGGAAUCAUUGGGCGUAAAGAGCGUGUAGGCGGUUUGGUAAGUCUGCCGUGAAAACCUGGGGCUCAACCCCGGGCGUGCGGUGGAUACUGCCAAGCUAGAGGGUGGUAGAGGCGAGUGGAAUUCCCGGUGUAGCGGUGAAAUGCGCAGAUAUCGGGAGGAACACCAGUAGCGAAGGCGGCUCGCUGGGCCAUUCCUGACGCUGAGACGCGAAAGCAUGGGGAGCAAACAGGAUUAGAUACCCUGGUAGUCCACGCCGUAAACGAUGAACACUAAGUGUGGGUGGAGUCGAAUCUAUCCGUGCCGCAGCCAACGCGAUAAGUGUUCCGCCUGGGGAGUACGGCCGCAAGGCUAAAACUCAAAGGAAUUGACGGGGGCCCGCACAAGCAGCGGAGCAUGUUCUUUAAUUCGAUGCAACGCGAAGAACCUUACCUGGGCUUGACAUGGUGCUGCAAGCGCACGGAAACGUGUGACCUUCGAGGGUGCACCACAGAUGCUGCAUGGCUGUCGUCAGCUCGUGUCGUGAGAUGUUGGGUUAAGUCCCGCAACGAGCGCAACCCUCGCCCUUAGUUGCCAUCAUUCAGUUGGGCACUCUAAGGGACUGCCCGGUGAUAAGCCGCGAGGAAUGGUGGGGGAUGACGUCAAGUCCUCA
RNAcentral lists this ribosomal RNA (1200 nucleotides) under uncultured bacterium. RNAcentral describes it as "bacterial SSU rRNA". It matches the Rfam family "Bacterial small subunit ribosomal RNA", at positions 8 to 1195 of the family's 1533-position model. The record is from RNAcentral.